GCCGGUGUGGCUCAGUGGACAGAGCGUUGGCCUGGGGACUGAAGGGUUCCGGGUUCGAUUCCAGGCAAGGGCA
Molecule: transfer RNA, 73 nt
Filed under: Myotis lucifugus (little brown bat)
Lineage: Eukaryota; Metazoa; Chordata; Mammalia; Chiroptera; Vespertilionidae
Rfam family: tRNA
About the family: Transfer RNA (tRNA) molecules are approximately 80 nucleotides in length. Their secondary structure includes four short double-helical elements and three loops (D, anti-codon, and T loops).
Source: Rfam by way of RNAcentral